Molecule: ribosomal RNA, 752 nt
Filed under: uncultured bacterium
Lineage: Bacteria
Description: bacterial SSU rRNA
Rfam family: Bacterial small subunit ribosomal RNA
Source: RNAcentral
AGAGUUUGAUCAUGGCUCAGAACGAACGCUGGCGGCAGGCCUAACACAUGCAAGUCGAACGAGAAGCCACCUUCGGGUGGUGGACAGUGGCAGACGGGUGAGUAACGCGUGGGAACGUGCCUUUCGGUUCGGGAUAACCCAGGGAAACUUGGGCUAAUACCGGAUACGCCCUUCGGGGGAAAGAUUCAUCGCCGAAAGAUCGGCCCGCGUCGGAUUAGCUUGUUGGUGGGGUAAUGGCCUACCAAGGCGACGAUCCGUAGCUGGUCUGAGAGGAUGACCAGCCACACUGGGACUGAGACACGGCCCAGACUCCUACGGGAGGCAGCAGUGGGGAAUAUUGGACAAUGGGCGCAAGCCUGAUCCAGCCAUGCCGCGUGGGUGAAGAAGGCCUUAGGGUUGUAAACCCCUUUCAGCGGGGAAGAUAAUGACGGUACCCGCAGAAGAAGCCCCGGCUAACUCCGUGCCAGCAGCCGCGGUAAUACGGAGGGGGCUAGCGUUGUUCGGAAUUACUGGGCGUAAAGCGCGCGUAGGCGGACCUGCAAGUCAGGGGUGAAAUCCCGAGGCUCAACCUCGGAACUGCCUUUGAUACUGCGGGUCUCGAGUCCGGGAGAGGUGAGUGGAAUUCCUAGUGUAGAGGUGAAAUUCGUAGAUAUUAGGAAGAACACCAGUGGCGAAGGCGGCUCACUGGCCCGGUACUGACGCUGAGGCGCGAAAGCGUGGGGAGCAAACAGGAUUAGAUACCCUAGUAGUCC